This is a long non-coding RNA of Xenopus tropicalis (tropical clawed frog), 283 nucleotides long. RefSeq lists it as uncharacterized. NCBI's taxonomy places the organism in Eukaryota, Metazoa, Chordata, Amphibia, Anura, Pipidae. The transcript has 3 exons. The record is from RefSeq and is a predicted model, not a curated record.
UCUAUGAGGGCAGUGAUAGCAAUAGGACAGUACAAGCAAUGCCCCCCAACUACUGUUUCCAUUCCCUGUCUUACAUAUUUAACUUUCUUUUUUUACGUUUCAGCUUAACCAACUAUGUUUAAACGAAUCAGUAAAGCUUUUCGAAAAUUAUUCCGACGGAACAACAAGGUUGCUCCAUUGAUCUCUAAUGAUACGGAAUCCAGUUGCAAGAUUGUACCUACUCCUCUACACCUUCUUCCGGUGAAUUAUGGGAUUGAAACCCAGAAGAAAGAGGAGAUCAGAG